GCGGCGAGCGAAGCGGGAAGAGCUCAAAUUUAUAAUCUGGCACCUUCGGUGUCCGAGUUGUAAUCUCUAGAAAUGUUUUCCGCGCUGGACCGCACACAAGUCUGUUGGAAUACAGCGGCAUAGUGGUGAGACCCCCGUAUAUGGUGCGGACGCCCAGCGCUUUGUGAUACAUUUUCGAAGAGUCGAGUUGUUUGGGAAUGCAGCUCAAAUUGGGUGGUAAAUUCCAUCUAAAGCUAAAUAUUGGCGAGAGACCGAUAGCGAACAAGUACCGUGAGGGAAAGAUGAAAAGCACUUUGGAAAGAGAGUUAACAGUACGUGAAAUUGUUGGAAGGGAAACGCUUGAAGUCAGACUUGCUUGCCGAGCAAUCGGUUUGCAGGCCAGCAUCAGUUUUCCGGGAUGGAUAAUGGUAGAGAGAAGGUAGCAGUUUCGGCUGUGUUAUAGCUCUCUGCUGGAUACAUCUUGGGGGACUGAGGAACGCAGUGUGCCUUUGGCGGGGGUUUCGACCUCUUCACACUUAGGAUGCUGGUGGAAUGGCUUUAAACGAC
RNAcentral lists this ribosomal RNA (546 nucleotides) under Rhodotorula mucilaginosa. Its description in RNAcentral is "eukaryotic LSU rRNA". It matches the Rfam family "Eukaryotic large subunit ribosomal RNA", at positions 86 to 648 of the family's 3401-position model. Lineage: Eukaryota; Fungi; Basidiomycota; Microbotryomycetes; Sporidiobolales; Sporidiobolaceae. The record is from RNAcentral.